This 732-nucleotide ribosomal RNA is filed under the name uncultured Leptotrichia sp. RNAcentral describes it as "bacterial SSU rRNA". It matches the Rfam family "Bacterial small subunit ribosomal RNA", at positions 28 to 776 of the family's 1533-position model. The record is from RNAcentral. Lineage: Bacteria; Fusobacteriati; Fusobacteriota; Fusobacteriia; Fusobacteriales; Leptotrichiaceae.
GAUGAACGCUGACAGAAUGCUUAACACAUGCAAGUCUUUGGCGAAGCUGUGCUUGCACAGCCUAGCCAAGGCGGACGGGUGAGUAACGCGUAAGGAACUUGCCCUGCAGUCAGGGAUAACAGACGGAAACGACUGAUAAGACCUGGUAAAGUCAGGCGGACUCACGUCCAGCCUGAUGAAAAGAGAUGCUGCAGGAGAGCCUUGCGUCCUAUUAGCUUGUUGGUGGGGUAACGGCCCACCAAGGCGAUGAUAGGUAGCCGGCCUGAGAGGGUGGACGGCCACAAGGGGACUGAGAUACGGCCCUUACUCCUACGGGAGGCAGCAGUGGGGAAUAUUGGACAAUGGGGGCAACCCUGAUCCAGCAAUUCUGUGUGCACGAUGAAGGUUUUCGGAUUGUAAAGUGCUUUCAGCAGGGAAGAAAAAAAUGACGGUACCUGCAGAAGAAGCGACGGCUAAAUACGUGCCAGCAGCCGCGGUAAUACGUAUGUCGCAAGCGUUAUCCGGAAUUAUUGGGCAUAAAGGGCAUCUAGGCGGCCAGAUAAGUCUGGGGUGAAAACUUGCGGCUCAACCGCAAGCCUGCCCUGGAAACUAUGUGGCUAGAGUACUGGAGAGGUGGACGGAACUGCACGAGUAGAGGUGAAAUUCGUAGAUAUGUGCAGGAAUGCCGAUGAUGAAGAUAGUUCACUGGACGGUAACUGACGCUGAAGUGCGAAAGCUAGGGGAGCAAACAGG